GCCUUGGUGGUGUAAUGGUCAGCCCACUCGGCGCGUAUUCGAGAGGUCCGAGGUUCGAGUCCCGGCGAGGGCA
Molecule: non-coding RNA, 73 nt
Organism: Stegodyphus mimosarum
Lineage: Eukaryota; Metazoa; Arthropoda; Arachnida; Araneae; Eresidae
Source: Rfam